Molecule: long non-coding RNA, 901 nt
Filed under: Parus major (Great Tit)
Lineage: Eukaryota; Metazoa; Chordata; Aves; Passeriformes; Paridae
Description: lncRNA (ENSPMJG00000001843.1)
Source: RNAcentral
UGAGUGUUGACACACCGAAAUUCAGGAGGCUUCUGAACCCCGCAAAACAGGGGUCUGACAGAUCUGUCAGGGCACACCUGCUUUAGGGGACCGGCCUUCCUACCAGGAAUGCUCAUUUUUAAAAGCUUUCAAGAGCCAUCUUCCGUGUACACCUAACGUUUAAAGAAGGGGUUUAUUUUCAGGGCUGAUUUGUCCGGGCGCCUUGGGCGGCCCCGCUGUCCCGCGGGGCGCAGGAGCGCGGUGGGGCCGCGGCUCUGCCGGGCAGGGCUCGGGGGGGCUGCCCUUGCCAGGCGGGACCGGCAGCCCGAGCACUGCCAGAACACAACAGCCUGUGUAAUUGUUGCUCUCAAGUGAGCACCGGGUGCUUCCUGGCUCUGGCUGCUCUCGCUGCUCGUGUCUGUGUUAUGCAGGCGUCUGCUCUGCCGAGCAGGGCUUUGCGAGAAGACAGAAGAGGUUUGAUUGACCCUGUUGGGAGCGUGAGCUGUGGGCUCUGUGGAUGCUUUGCUGUGACGGAGGGCCGAGGGCUGACCAAGUCGUGGGGAGGAUUUGUAUGUGGGAAGAGAGGAGAUGGCUGUGCAGCGUGCUCCCGAAUCUGCUCUGAGCUUGCUGAUGAGAUGUCAAAACAUUUCCCAAAGGCACUGAUGUCUCUUCACCGUAGGAAGACUGAGGAAAAGGAGAAGGAGAGAUGAAGGAGGUUCUUAAAGCCAGUGUGAGGAAUGAGACCUGCAUGUCCUAGUUCCCUAUGCAAGUGCCCUUUCCAGUAAAUUGUGGGGUAUGUUAUUAUCAAAUGAAAACCUCUGAGCUGAUUUUUCAGAGUUGGCAAAAAGAGGCAAUGAAUAGUCACAAUUAGAAAGCUAACUCUGACUUUUUCUAAAGAGGAAAAGUAUAGGACUGCCCAUUU